Molecule: long non-coding RNA, 283 nt
Filed under: Mytilus galloprovincialis (Mediterranean mussel)
Lineage: Eukaryota; Metazoa; Mollusca; Bivalvia; Mytilida; Mytilidae
Source: RNAcentral
GUUUGUUCAGGUCAGGAAUAUGACAUUCGUUUUUGAUGUUUGAUUUUGCCAUGUGAUUAUGGACUUUCCGAUUAGAUUUUCCUCCAAGUUCAUUAUUUUUGUGAUUUUACUUUUUAUACUAUAUCCUCGAAAAAGAACAAUGGUACAAACUACUUUGAUGAAUCACACGUUUAACUUUUUUCGGCGAAGUUGAUCAAUGGAAGAGGCUCAAGAAUGUAAAUUUGGAGGCUCAAAUAUACAUUUAUUAAAGAUAUAAAAAAGUACUGAUGAAAUUCACAUUUCU